AAAGAUGUGAUCAAACCAACUGAAUGAAAUAUGAGUCCGUUCAGAAGAGAGCACAGGUGAACUGAAUGAUGAUAUGAACAAUCUGAGGACGAGGAGGACGAGGAGGACGAGGAUGAGGACGAGGAAGAGCAAGGUGUGAGAGUGUGGUCAAGGCUAAAUCCACACACUAGAGGGUUUCUUCUCAUCAUUUCCUGUCAUGUGACAGUACUGUAUAGAGGCGGGUUUAUAACACAUACAACCAAACCUGAUUAGUUUUGAUUUGACUCGGUUUCUUUAGCGUUUCAUCAAAGCCGUUUUAUAAAACUUUUUUCUGAAACUCAUCAGCAAAACAUCAGCACAGAUUUCGGAGCUGCGUCAAUGUUUCCUUUUUCCUGCUCAUCACAAGAUUCAAAUGGAGUGGAGAAAGAAAAUCACACAUCCAGAAAACUGCUGGAGCCCCAGAAAUCACAGAGCAGCAGAAAACAAGAAGACAGAGAGAAAAAUGGAGACACAAACCAGUGGAUCACAAGAGAAAAGAGAACUGAGACUUGUUAGAUGUGAGAGUAUGGACAGAAUAAAGCCAAGCUUGUCAUGUGAUCCAGAUGAGCCUAUAAAGUUUGAUUCUGAUGUCAAAACUGAGGAGAGAUUCUCUCAUCAAAACCCUUCAUCAUGUUCUCAAGAACACACAUCAGAUACCAGCAGCUGAAGACCUGAACAUCUUUUGAAAACGAGUUUCAAAGUGUAUGUUUUUGAAAAUAAUACCGUUAUCGUCUCGGUGUCAACUACAAAAACAUGAAUCUGUGAAAACGUUGACGUCACGUACAUGUGUUUUACGCCUUCAGUCUAUAUGCACAUAGUUUUCUUUACAAAGUGGCAUCGCCAUCUACUGGCCUGGCAGCAGAAUACAGCGAUUUCAGUUGUUUCCGUGGAUCCAUGUGAACGUGGAUUGUUUUGAUAAUGUUGUCUGUAUACGAAAAACGCAGUUGUUUAAUGGACAGUUUCUUCCUCAGAUCAGUGUCUCAAUCCUGCUCAGCUGCUGCACUUUACUGACACACCGGUGUUUGAUAGUGAACACUUGAACAUGCUUUAUAUAAGACAGAGAAACACCCUGAACAGACAGCUGGUCCACUGUAGAAAAAUGCACAUU
Molecule: long non-coding RNA, 1126 nt
Organism: Megalobrama amblycephala (Wuchang bream)
Lineage: Eukaryota; Metazoa; Chordata; Actinopteri; Cypriniformes; Xenocyprididae
Exons: 3
Source: RefSeq, a predicted model, not a curated record